UGAGGAAUAUUGGUCAAUGGGCGAGAGCCUGAACCAGCCAAGUCGCGUGAGGGAAGACGGUCCUACGGAUUGUAAACCUCUUUUGUCGGGGAGUAAUAGGCGGGACGUGUCCUGCUGUGAGAGUACCCGAAGAAAAAGCAUCGGCUAACUCCGUGCCAGCAGCCGCGGUAAUACGGAGGAUGCGAGCGUUAUCCGGAUUUAUUGGGUUUAAAGGGUGCGCAGGCGGCGUGCCAAGUCAGCGGUCAAAGUUCCGGGCUCAACCCGGUGAUGCCGUUGAAACUGGUGUGCUUGAGUGCGUGCGAGGGAGGCGGAAUGCGUUGUGUAGCGGUGAAAUGCAUAGAUAUGACGCAGAACUCCGAUUGCGAAGGCAGCUUUCCAGCACGCCACUGACGCUGAGGCACGAAAGCGUGGGGAUCGAACAGGA
Molecule: ribosomal RNA, 424 nt
Filed under: uncultured bacterium
Lineage: Bacteria
Description: bacterial SSU rRNA
Rfam family: Bacterial small subunit ribosomal RNA
Source: RNAcentral